UCCCAGUAGCCUCUCGACUCAGAAGCAGCCCCAGGCCAGCAGUGUCUGCCUUUCUGUGGGGAAAGCAGUUCUGUGGAGAAGAUCCCAAGGAAUUGUCAAGGAUUACAGGGUUUUAUUUGCCAGGAGGGGCCUAGUCUGGUUUAGCAGGUGGAUUAUAAUCAAGAACUGCAAACGUAAUAGCCUGCUAUGUAAUUUCAGCCCUUAAUAUGUUUUUGUUAGGGGAGAAAAAUCAUCCAGCAAUUGAGUUCAAGUAAUUCGGGGGGGGGGGAGAGCAGUUCAGGUUUUCCACCCCUUUGUGCUUGUGCCCCAAGUUCUUCCUUCGCUUUCCACAGCAACCAUACAUUUAGUGAAGGCAUCUAACAUGUCAAAGGAGGUACAUUAUUUCUCGUCCCCGUCUAAGCCCUUUUUAAAAGCUGAAUUCCGGUAGAUGAAGGCCCUGGGACUCCCAGCGUAUUUAAGAAGAGGGAAAUGGGAAGAGAUGUCGCCUGCCACCCAAGAGUUUGCAAGGGGCCACCUUAAGCAGAGAAGGAGAAUAAUUUCUAGGCACGCAGUGAUGUUCGUUGCUUUAUGUAAGGCGUGGAGAAGCUGGCACUUUGGUUUUUACUAGAUGACUUUCUGUGUGGAUCUGGAACGGUAGCAAUUUUGUUAACUGCUGCAAAAGGCCAGGCCAGUGACUUGGGCUUUCAAAAUAUGUGCAGGCUUCGCCCUCCCCCCUUUCUCCGCAGUCUAAUGCUAUGUAAUAAAAGAAAAACAGCCUUCAGGCUUAGUAUCUGAAAGGAAAUGUUCUUUUCCCCAAAUGUUCUGCAUAUGUGGACAGCCUCUGCCUCUUUGAAACUGCAACAGCAGGCACAUUUUCAGCCACUCUCAAAUAAACUCUUUACCUCUGAGUACAUUUCUUACAGCUAGCAGUAGAGCAUGUUCCAAGCUGAUAGCUCUCUCCCCUGGAGCAAAGCAGACCUUGCAAUGUAUUCAGAUUCCCAUCCUAUUUUAAAGAGCCAGCUCAGACUAGUUGGGUGGAAUUCAGCCAACUUUUACUCAAGAGUAGACCCUCUGAAAUGAAAAGACCUAAUGGAGUCAUGUUCUUUAAUUUCAGUGAGCCUAUUCUGAGUAGGCCUAGUGUUGAAUUCCACCCUGUUUCAAAUUUCCAGGUGCCAGCAUCAGUUUAUAGGCACCCAAGUGGCGAGACCCCAGGAGGCAGACUCAAACCAGGGUCAAGUUAAUUGCUUGAAUGCAAUUAAAGUACAGCACACAAAUUAUUUUGGUAUGUAAAUAGCAGCCAUGGUGAAGCCUGCAAAACCUUGAGAUCGUGGCAGAGGGUGGAGAGAGGUCUCUAAGUGUGCCGAAGUCCAGAAGGUGCUCUUUACAUUUCAAAGAAAGACUCCAUUGGCAGCUAUCUAGAACUUGUUGCUGGGACCACAGUGAGUAAAGUGGAACUCCCCCUCCUGGUCCCUGUGGUUCUGAGGCUGAUCAGAUAUGGCAGCUACUAACAUAACAAACAAAAAUGUGCUUCUUCACUGCGUUCACGCAAUUAAGGACAGGUCUACCUUGGUCCUCAGAGAGAAGCAUCUGGUACUGCUUCGAGAGCCAUAACACAUGCACCAUAAACCUGCAACUAGAUUCUAGCUCUAGAAUAAGCCUUCCACUCAGCCUAGAAGCUUUCUGCAGUGUUAGAAUGACAUGAAGCGGUGGCAUACGCAGGCAUACAUUCAAAGCAGAAAUGCCACUGGACUAUUUGGUGUGUUUGUGCGGGUAAAGAGAGUUCUAAAACUCCAGCUUAGAGAGGGAGACAGGUGCAGUUGUUAUUUUUACAUGGCCCUUAAAAAAAAAAAAAGCAUCUGGGAGCCUUCUCUUGAGUGUUAAGCCAUUCUAUCACACUUUCCUGAGUAGAAAAAGCCUCACUUGGAAAGGCAUUUCAAUUGCAGAAAGGACAGCGAAAGAAAUUACUUUGUGCUCUAUCACAUUGUAUUUCAGGAGAGGACACAAUGAGCAACCGAGGUCUAAGCCAAGAGCAAAAACAGAAGGAACUGCCUCCUGCCAACUUCUAAGACAAAAAACGGCUCCUAUUUCAGCUGAGAUGUGUGUUACCUGGUAACUAAAAGCAGUCACAAUUAAGCCUCAGGUGCUCCUAAAGAGAAUUGCUAGGAGAUCAGUUCGACAAGUCACAGCAAAUGUUUCUCUUUAUAUUGAAAAAAGUACUUCGCCUUUUGAUGCUUAUGUACAACAGCUAAUACUUGUGCUAUAUAUUUUGAGUCAUUGCUUCUGUUUUAAUACACUGAAAGACGAGAGCUGUUCUGUUGUAUUUCUAAUGAAGACACUGAUCACACUUAAAUAACCAGCAUUUAUCAUAGUGACAAAUGAAACUGUAAAGUGCACCCCCCCCCAUUUACAAAGAGAGCAGGUGACAAACCCAUCAGUGCAAAAAUCCUGUGAAAUCACAACACAGUACCGGGGGGGGGGGAGAGAAGAAGAA
Molecule: long non-coding RNA, 2470 nt
Organism: Podarcis raffonei (Aeolian wall lizard)
Lineage: Eukaryota; Metazoa; Chordata; Lepidosauria; Squamata; Lacertidae
Exons: 2
Source: RefSeq, a predicted model, not a curated record